CGUUCGUCGACGUACGUCUACGAGAGUGUAUCCUGGCUCAGGAUGAACGCUGGCGGCGUGCCUAAUACAUGCAAGUCGAGCGAACCACUUCGGUGGGAAGCGGCGAACGGGUGAGUAACGCGUAGGUGAUCUGCCCAUCAGACGGGGACAACGAUUGGAAACGAUCGCUAAUACCGGAUAGGACGAAAGUUUAAAGAUGCUCCUGGCAUCACUGAUGGAUGAGCCUGCGGCGCAUUAGCUAGUUGGUGGGGUAAAGGCCUACCAAGGCGACGAUGCGUAGCCGACCUGAGAGGGUGAACGGCCACACUGGGACUGAGACACGGCCCAGACUCCUACGGGAGGCAGCAGUAGGGAAUCUUCGGCAAUGGGCGAAAGCCUGACCGAGCAACGCCGCGUGAAUGAAGAAGGCCUUCGGGUUGCAAAAUUCUGUUAUAAGGGAAGAAAGGUGAUAGGAGGAAAUGACUAUCAAUUGACGGUACCUUAUGGGAAAGCCACGGCUAACUACGUG
RNAcentral lists this ribosomal RNA (508 nucleotides) under uncultured Turicibacter sp. Its description in RNAcentral is "bacterial SSU rRNA". It matches the Rfam family "Bacterial small subunit ribosomal RNA", at positions 1 to 507 of the family's 1533-position model. The record is from RNAcentral. Lineage: Bacteria; Bacillati; Bacillota; Erysipelotrichia; Erysipelotrichales; Turicibacteraceae.